RNAcentral lists this non-coding RNA (779 nucleotides) under Cryptosporidium parvum. The record is from RNAcentral. Lineage: Eukaryota; Apicomplexa; Conoidasida; Eucoccidiorida; Cryptosporidiidae.
AACGAUUUCAAAAUAAGUUUAUACUAAUGCAUUGAACUAAAAAUUAAUCCGCAUGGUUUUAAACAAAUCUAUACUUUUAAAUAGGGUAGCCAAAGCAAACACAAGAUGACCCAUUCAGUAAAGGAAGCUUGCAUUCUUGUUUUGCGAGUGUAAUUGAUUCAACCAAUGAGAGUUUUGAUCCAACCCAAUUGUCAAAAAUUGACAUAGUAAAGCGGUCUAUAUCUUGGUCAGUAACGUCCCAAAGCGCUCCGAGAAUUAAAGGGCUUCCACCAAUUAGGUAGUGAAUUGGCGUAAAAAAUACAUGGUUUGACCCAUAUGAUCUUAUUUUGGAAGAGCUACAACCAAUUAACAACGAAGGAGGCAUAUAGAAGUGAUAAUUUUCUGACUCCAAAUUCUCAGUGAUUAUUCCUCUUUCAAACAACUCUCCUUGGAUAAACUUUUCUCCAGCCUGGUGACCGCAAAAUAGAUAGAGAUUAGAUCGAUUAAAACUCAUAGUAUUCAUAAUUUCUGUUGCUUGAGGAAUUGAAUUCGAUAUUCCUGAACAUUUUGAACCAAAUUUUUGUUUAAUGAAUUCAAUAACAGUCUUUUCAGUUUCUUCUAAAUCUCCAGUUGGAUUUAUGCAAUAAUAUAUAUUACAGAAGCUGGCAAGCAAACGAAGGUUGCUUUCUUUAGAUUUCUGAAGCUGAUUAAAUAGAUUAUCGAUAUUAUUUUUACACAUUCUUCUGUUAAUCCCUCUAGUGAUUGGUUGAAAUUUCAAAUCGCAAAUACUUUCUAUUGGC